CGCCCGUCGCUCCUACCGAUUGGGUGUGCUGGUGAGAUGUCGGGAUUAGUGGCUGUGGGCGGCUCGCCGCCCUCUGCCGCUGAGAACUUCAUCAAACCCUCCCACCUAGAGGAAGGAGAAGUCGUAACAAGGUUCCU
Molecule: ribosomal RNA, 137 nt
Filed under: uncultured Trebouxiophyceae
Lineage: Eukaryota; Viridiplantae; Chlorophyta; Trebouxiophyceae
Description: partial small subunit ribosomal RNA
Rfam family: Eukaryotic small subunit ribosomal RNA
Source: RNAcentral